Molecule: long non-coding RNA, 679 nt
Organism: Mesocricetus auratus (golden hamster)
Lineage: Eukaryota; Metazoa; Chordata; Mammalia; Rodentia; Cricetidae
Exons: 3
Source: RefSeq, a predicted model, not a curated record
CCUCAAUCUGCUGUGACUUGACAUGGCCAGGCUCCUCUCCAGUGAGUGCAGGACAGGCUCGGUGAAUCAAGUUGCUAGGAACCUGAGGAGCUUCAGCCUUGUAGUGUGAAUUAAAUGGUCAUUUCCACCUGUCACUGAUUUUCUUUUCUUGGUGAGCAACAGCUCUAUUCAUCGGGAGAGACCUUGACGGACACAGUGUUUCCCAUCCACAAUGAGAAAUCAAAAGAAUAGGGGUGGAAUCAAAUGGAGAGUAGCUGUAUCAGGCUUAGCAUCACAAAGUCUGGAAAAGCCAAGAAAAUCUGCAGCCUCAGCCCAAAGAUCCAGAUUUGGCAUAGAGCCUCUUCCAAAGGAAAAGAUAAAUCUUCCAAAGCAAAGAAAUCCCUGCCCUCCUUCCUCCCACUCCAUCCAUCUUCCCUUUCAUGGCAGACAUUUGAAAGCAAUGCUCCUGGUCGCCAGAGAGAUCCCAUAUUUCCUGAGUUAUCUCCAAGAAAUGCCAGAGAUGCUGAAGACUGUGUUCCCCUCUCCAUAUCACAAGAAUCGUGUCACUCUCAAUCACAGACAUGCACUGAUGCCAAUCUUUGUCUUAUAGUAGACCAGAAGCCUGCUCUCUUUUUAUUUCCAAAGGAUCUUAAUUCAUUUCUACACCUGGCAUAAAUGUCACCUCGUGGAUUCAGUAAAA